AGCAGCCGCGGUAAUUCCAGCUCCAAUAGCGUAUAUUAAAGUUGUUGCAGUUAAAAAGCUCGUAGUUGAACUUCGGGAUCAAUGUUUCGGUCAUGCCCUUGGUAUGUACUGAUAUUAUUGGUUUCUCACCUUCUAAAGAACCGUAAUGACAUUAAUUUGGUGUCACGGGGAAUUAGGACUGUUACCUUGAAAAAAUUAGAGUGUCUAAAGCAGGCUCACGCUUGAAUACAUUAGCAUGGAAUAAUGAAAUAGGACAUCCGAUUCUAUUUUGUUGGUUUCUAGGAUCGAUGUAAUGAUUAAUAGGGAUAGUUGGGGGCAUUAGUAUUCAAUUGUCAGAGGUGAAAUUCUUGGAUUUAUUGAAGACUAACUACUGCGAAAGCAUUUGCCAAGGAUGUUUUCAUUAAUCAAGAACGAAAGUUAGGGGAUCGAGGACGAUCAGAUACCGUCGUAGUCUUAACCAUAAACUAUGCCGACUAGGGAUCGGAUGAUGUUAAUUUUUUAAUGACUCA
Molecule: ribosomal RNA, 509 nt
Filed under: uncultured glomeraceous AM fungus
Lineage: Eukaryota; Fungi; Glomeromycota; Glomeromycetes; Glomerales; Glomeraceae
Description: SSU rRNA
Rfam family: Eukaryotic small subunit ribosomal RNA
Source: RNAcentral